ACUGAACUCCGUGGAAAAUUCAAAACGGAAAGUCCCUUAUCAAAUGGCAAAUUUAAAAGCUCAAACACAUCAAGCGAAUGGAUAACAACUGUCAUAUUCCUGACAUCGUACAAGCAUUUUCUAAUGUAGAAAAUGGUGGAUUAAACCUAAUUUUAUACAUGUAGCUAGCUACACCUCUCCCUUGUAUGACAGUCAUUUCAUAUUGACAACGAUGUGUGAAGAAAAAAAACAGACAUAAUAGUUAAAAAUGUCAAAAAUAGGUGUACCGCAGUCAACAUUGUGUUAUAAUCUUAAACAUAUCUUUUCUACAAACGAAGCCCUGUUUUGCUCAUAUUGGUGACCGUAUGAGGUGUAUACAUGUGCACACAAUAAAUUGGGAAAAAUUCAGAAAAGAAACCAUCUGUUUUGAGGGCACAGGGUUGGAUGUGUGGUUAAUUAUAAAUUCAACUGGUCUUUAAGGAAUUUCCUACCACUUUGCACGCAAGAAGAAAUGUUGUAAUCUAUCAAAUAGCACGAUUGUGAUUCUUUGAUUUAUGACUAUUCUCUUGAAUGAAUUAACACUUUAAUGUUAUCAAAGUUACAAAAUCACCGAAGUAUUGUUAAAACUUCUGCAUACGGACAAAACAUGUUGAAUGAAAAUCACUGUGAUUCAUUGGCGAAUAAGAGAAAUUUCAUGACAGAAUUUUUAUAUAAUAAGGCCAC
Molecule: long non-coding RNA, 702 nt
Filed under: Mytilus galloprovincialis (Mediterranean mussel)
Lineage: Eukaryota; Metazoa; Mollusca; Bivalvia; Mytilida; Mytilidae
Source: RNAcentral